GUGGGCGUAGCUCAGUCGGCAGAGCACCAGGUUGUGGUCCUGGGAGUCGGGGGUUCAAGUCCCCUCGCUCACCCCA
This 76-nucleotide transfer RNA is filed under the name Lipingzhangella rawalii. RNAcentral's name for it is "tRNA-His". It matches the Rfam family "tRNA". From Rfam's summary of the family: Transfer RNA (tRNA) molecules are approximately 80 nucleotides in length. Their secondary structure includes four short double-helical elements and three loops (D, anti-codon, and T loops). The record is from RNAcentral. Lineage: Bacteria; Bacillati; Actinomycetota; Actinomycetes; Streptosporangiales; Nocardiopsidaceae.